GAUGAACGCUAGCUACAGGCUUAACACAUGCAAGUCGAGGGGCAGCGCAGUGUAGCAAUACAUGGGCGGCGACCGGCGCACGGGUGCGUAACGCGUAUCCAACCUUCCCGUUACUCAGGGAUAGCCUUCCGAAAGGGAGAUUAAUACCUGAUGGUGUUUGAAUUCCGCAUGUUAUUCAAACUAAAGAUUUAUCGGUAACGGAUGGGGAUGCGUGACAUUAGGUAGAUGGCGGGGUAACGGCCCACCAUGCCCACGAUGUCUAGGGGUUCUGAGAGGAAGGUCCCCCACACUGGAACUGAGACACGGUCCAGACUCCUACGGGAGGCAGCAGUGAGGAAUAUUGGUCAAUGGUCGAAGGACUGAACCAGCCAUGCCGCGUGAAGGUGACGGCCCUAUGGGUCUUAAACUUCUUUUGUAAGGGAGCAAUAAGGUCUACGUGUAGACUGAUGAGAGUACCUUACGAUAAGCAUCGGCUAACUCCGUG
RNAcentral lists this ribosomal RNA (484 nucleotides) under uncultured bacterium. Its description in RNAcentral is "bacterial SSU rRNA". It matches the Rfam family "Bacterial small subunit ribosomal RNA", at positions 28 to 507 of the family's 1533-position model. The record is from RNAcentral.